AAUUUUGGACAAUGGGGGAAACCCUGAUCCAGCCAUCCCGCGUGUAUGAUGAAGGCCUUCGGGUUGUAAAGUACUCUGGGCAGAGAAGAAAAGGUAUCUCCUAAUACGAGAUACUGCUGACGGUAUCUGCAGAGUAAGCAUCGGCUAACUACGUGCCAGCAGCCGCGGUAAAACGUAGGGUACAAGCGUUAAUCGGAAUUACUGGGCGUAAAACGUGUGUAGGCGGUUAGGAAAGAAAGAUGGGAAAACCCAGGGCUCAACCUUGGAACUGCAUUUUUAACUGCCGAGCUAGAGUAUGUCAGAGGGGGGUAGAAUUCCACGUGUAGCAGUGAAAUGCGUAGAUAUGUGGAGGAAUACCGAUGGCGAAAGCAGCCCCCUGGGAUAAUACUGACGCUCAGACACGAAAGCGUGGGGAGCAAACAG
RNAcentral lists this ribosomal RNA (423 nucleotides) under uncultured bacterium. Its description in RNAcentral is "partial 16S ribosomal RNA". It matches the Rfam family "Bacterial small subunit ribosomal RNA", at positions 360 to 775 of the family's 1533-position model. The record is from RNAcentral.